GACGAACGCUGGCGGCGUGCCUAAUACAUGCAAGUUGAGCGCUGAAGGUUGGUACUUGUACCAACUGGAUGAGCAGCGAACGGGUGAGUAACGCGUGGGGAAUCUGCCUUUGAGCGGGGGACAACAUUUGGAAACGAAUGCUAAUACCGCAUAAAAACUUUAAACACAAGUUUUAAGUUUGAAAGAUGCAAUUGCAUCACUCAAAGAUGAUCCCGCGUUGUAUUAGCUAGUUGGUGAGGUAAAGGCUCACCAAGGCGAUGAUACAUAGCCGACCUGAGAGGGUGAUCGGCCACAUUGGGACUGAGACACGGCCCAAACUCCUACGGGAGGCAGCAGUAGGGAAUCUUCGGCAAUAGACGAAAGUCUGGCCGAGCAACGCCGCGUGAGUGAAGAAGGUUUUCGGAUCGUAAAACUCUGUUGGUAGAGAAGAACGUUGGUGAGAGUGGAAAGCUCAUCAAGUGACGGUAACUACCCAGAAAGGGACGGCUAACUACGUG
RNAcentral lists this ribosomal RNA (497 nucleotides) under uncultured bacterium. RNAcentral's name for it is "partial 16S ribosomal RNA". It matches the Rfam family "Bacterial small subunit ribosomal RNA", at positions 28 to 507 of the family's 1533-position model. The record is from RNAcentral.